UACGGAGGGGGCUAGCGUUGUUCGGAAUUACUGGGCGUAAAGCGCGCGUAGGCGGACCUGCAAGUCGGGGGUGAAAGCCCGAGGCUCAACCUCGGAACUGCCUUCGAUACUGCGGGUCUCGAGUCCGAGAGAGGUGAGUGGAAUUCCUAGUGUAGAGGUGAAAUUCGUAGAUAUUAGGAAGAACACCAGUGGCGAAGGCGGCUCACUGGCUCGGUACUGACGCUGAGGCGCGAAAGCGUGGGGGGCAAGCAGG
RNAcentral lists this ribosomal RNA (253 nucleotides) under uncultured bacterium. RNAcentral's name for it is "partial 16S ribosomal RNA". It matches the Rfam family "Bacterial small subunit ribosomal RNA", at positions 524 to 776 of the family's 1533-position model. The record is from RNAcentral.